CCUCCCCCAAGUCCCGGUGAUACGCCUCCCCACCUCCCGGCAAUGCGCGACGCCUACUCCGGUGACGCGCACCGCACCCCCCACUCCACGGCGACGCCCCUCGCAGUUCCUCCCGACGACGCGCACCACGACCGGUGAUGCAGAUCCCUCCACCCCACAGCAUCGGCAACUCCCUCCAUCGGAUGCUGGUCGCGUCCAUCCACCCGCCUCCCUCCGUUCGCGACCCUUCUCCUGUCCGUCUGCGAUCCUUCUCCUUGUCCGGCCCUCCCUUCACUCCCUCCACCGCGCUCCGCCUAUCGUAUACCACCAUCGAGCGCGUAGGCCGCCAAGGCCAACAAGCCACCAUGCUCGCCACAGAACAGGCCCCCGCUGGAUCCCCACCACCGGGUAGCCUGGGCAGCUCCAGGUGGUCACCUCGUCCUGGAUCCAGGUGGUGGUCGCGGCCAGGAUACAGCUAGCUCAAGGGAGGGGUCGCCGGUUUUGUGAAGUUCAAGUUUCAAAGUUCUGCAAGUCCAGUGAAAAAAUCGGUAAGUUUCGUGCGUGUGCUGCUACAAAUCUGAACUUAUUGUCCACGCAUACUAGUACCGAUGAAUAUCGAGUUGAUGAAAAUGUACUAUUACAUGAUAUUGUAGUAUAAGUCAAUGCACAUGAUAAUGCUCAGGCUUGAUGGUUAGAUAUUGAAGUCUCAGCAUGUGCUGCCAUGAUCUAUUAGAUAACUCAUCUCAGCAUGUACAAGCCAACUUGCAUGUUAAAGAUCAAACCAUAGGACCACAUGAUUUUGGUUUUCUUGUAAAAAUGGUAGUUGUAAUGACAGGCAGAACAACACCAAAUUGCUCGUAUUUGUUAUCAGAUCCAAAAGUGUAUUUUCAUCUGAUUAUCUUGCUGUAAUUUGAGCGUAACAUACUGUCAUAAACUAUGUACCAAUUUUCAUUUAGCUUCAAAGUUGAAUACAGUAGUACAGAAAUGUUCUUCAGUCAGCUCGUCAUACUUAAUGGGAAAUACAACAGCCACAUCAACACUGGUGAAAACAGGUCAUUUGACACUUCAUUUGAUCUUGGAAAUGCACAGCAAAGGCCAGUAAACCAUAGUGAAAGCUAAAUAACUUUUUUGGAACUGAACCUAGUCUUUACAUCUCAUCAAGACAGAGAUCAUAGAACAAGUAAUUACUCCUAUAGAAGAUCAUCCAGCCUCUAGGGAUUAAUUAGUUCUCAAAAUUCAUGCUGAACAAACACGAAUUCUCAGUCCUACGUUAUAUUUGAGCAAUCAAUAUGUCUAACAAUUGUUAACCAGCGCUGCAGUUGUAAGUGAUGUCCCACUAAGAAGUUGCUCAAAUUAAAAUGUGUUAUCUGAUCCCUUCCUAAUUUUGCUACUUGAAUGCAUUUUAUUUUGUGAUUUCCAGUCCUUUUUAAGAUUCAGGUGAUUUUCUGCCAUGGGAAGAAAUGCUGAAAUAUCAUCAUCAUAAACGAACUAUCAUCUAUUUUAUUUCCUGAAACACAAACUAGCUGUGCCAGUUCAAUAUGUGAAUUCUCAUCAGUACAUGGCUUCCUCCGUCGUGUGAUCAAUGGUCGGAGCUCACCGAUGACGGAGGAUGUGGAGCUUCACUACCAUCCGCAGCUCCAGCCGUGGUCCGGAUCAUACUGAGGCUCUGGACCCUCCCUCAUAAACUCACCUCGAGGACAUCUAUUUUAUUUCCUGAAACACAAACUAGGUGUGCCAGUUUAGUAUGUGAACUAUCAUCAGUUUGUGAAAAACACAUAUGACAGUACUAUGUGUGUGUGUGCAAAAUAAAACCGAGUGUUUUUAUUGUACAAUAGUUUUGCACCAAAAGGUUAUUCUGAUGCGGGUGGCUAGUGUUGCAGUAGUUCAGAAUGCUGAACCCACAUUGAUGCAGGCGCUCAUGAGUAGAGGCAGGUGCACCCAUGAGCAUUCUUCCAAUGUGGUGUUCACCGCCGGCGCCACAGUCCGUUCACGGUCGAUAGCUGAGGCCGUUCAAUGACACAACGACGAGGUAUUGCUAGAGUACUGUCUAGUCUGAAGCGAGCUACACAUUCGCACAUGAGUCGGUGCUCCUGAUGUGCUCUAAUUAGCAAUAGAAAAUGACAAGGGAGUGCAUCCAAAAGAUAGGUGGCAAGCAUGACUGUUGCGGUGUGUUGAUAACUGAAUUGAAGGAUCUUCAGUAUAUGAACCACAAAAGAGAGGUGCAUCCCGUACAAACAAAGAAGUGCAUGCAGUACAUCGGCUCAAGAUCCAAUGGUUCAAUUAUCUUUUGGUUUGGCAAAAUGCUUCUCUUGCAGGUUUUUUGUUUUGCUGUAAUUUUCAUUUAUAUCACAGGAUGUAACACCAUCUCCGAAACAAAUGCAUAUGUUCAGUUAAGAACUUGGCGUGGUGGGUGUACUGUUGAUAAUAUGAACUUGUUUCUCUCAACUAUAGAAAACAUGUAACCUUUGUUGUGCUGCUCUGCAAUUUCUCCAGAAAAUAUGGAUUGUUUCGGUUUAA
This is a long non-coding RNA of Triticum aestivum (bread wheat), 2496 nucleotides long. RefSeq lists it as uncharacterized. The transcript is spliced from 2 exons. NCBI's taxonomy places the organism in Eukaryota, Viridiplantae, Streptophyta, Magnoliopsida, Poales, Poaceae. The record is from RefSeq and is a predicted model, not a curated record.